ACGCACGCUGGCGGCGUGCUUCACACAUGCCAGUCGCACGGAAAGGCCCUGCUUUUGUGGGGUGCUCGAGUGGCGAACGGGUGAGUAACACGUGAGUAACCUGCCCUUGACUUUGGGAUAACUUCAGGAAACUGGGGCUAAUACCGGAUAGGAGCUCCUGCUGCAUGGUGGGGGUUGGAAAGUUUCGGCGGUUGGGGAUGGACUCGCGGCUUAUCAGCUUGUUGGUGGGGUAGUGGCUUACCAAGGCUUUGACGGGUAGCCGGCCUGAGAGGGUGACCGGCCACAUUGGGACUGAGAUACGGCCCAGACUCCUACGGGAGGCAGCAGUGGGGAAUAUUGCGCAAUGGGCGGAAGCCUGAUGCAGCAACGCCGCGUGCGGGAUGACGGCCUUCGGGUUGUAAACCGCUUUCGCCUGUGACGAAGCGUGAGUGACGGUAAUGGGUAAAGAAGCACCGGCUAACUACGUG
RNAcentral lists this ribosomal RNA (467 nucleotides) under uncultured bacterium. Its description in RNAcentral is "partial 16S ribosomal RNA". It matches the Rfam family "Bacterial small subunit ribosomal RNA", at positions 29 to 507 of the family's 1533-position model. The record is from RNAcentral.